RNAcentral lists this ribosomal RNA (445 nucleotides) under uncultured bacterium. RNAcentral's name for it is "partial 16S ribosomal RNA". It matches the Rfam family "Bacterial small subunit ribosomal RNA", at positions 29 to 507 of the family's 1533-position model. The record is from RNAcentral.
AAUGAACGCUGGCGGCAUGCCUAACACAUGCAAGUCGAACGAGCUGACGGCAUCGGUCCUUCUCGCUUGUUGCGCACGGGCGGGUAAGUCGCGCGUAGAUACCCUAUCGUUCGGACUAACCUAGGGACGCGUUAGCUUAUCUCGUACCCGCUCUUAGUUUGAACCGUUUUAUGCAAAAGGAUUAGCCCGUCUUGCAUUCGGUAGUUGGUGAGGUAAUGUCUCAUUAACCCGACGUUCAGUAGCUGGUCUGAGAGGAUGAUCAGCCACACUGGGACUGAGACACGGCCCAGACUCCUACGGGAGGCAGCAGUGGGGAAUAGUGGACAAUGGGGGCAACCCUGAUCCAGCCAUGCCGCGUGAGUGAAGAAGGCCUUCGGGUUGUAAAGCUCUUUCGACGGGGACGAUGAUGACGGUACCCGUAUAAGAAGCCCCGGCAAACUUCGUG